Long non-coding RNA from Sinocyclocheilus rhinocerous, 542 nucleotides. RefSeq lists it as uncharacterized. The record is from RefSeq and is a predicted model, not a curated record. The transcript has 5 exons. NCBI's taxonomy places the organism in Eukaryota, Metazoa, Chordata, Actinopteri, Cypriniformes, Cyprinidae.
UGUAGGCGUCAUUUCCCGGAUGGGGUUGGGCUUCCGCUGUUUCUGCUGAACGUAACUGUGGGUCGGUAAAGGAGAGCGGCUGUGUGUACAGCCUUGUUUGGCGUCUUGCUGCUGUUCGGCUGAUGAAGGAGAGCGGCUGCGUGUGCAGCCUUGUCUGGUGUCUUGCUGCGCUGUUCGGCUGAUGAAUGUGACCGCAUCGGUCCUCCUCCAGCGAUCGUUUGGGUGGAUAAUAUCCCCGCAGUGGCGUCACCGCUGUCUCAUUCCAGGAGCUGCUGGCCUUUAUUGAACCGGGUCGAUGACUUCCUCUUUAGAUGGUGGUGGUGUUUCUUCAUUGUGUGUUGUGGACUUUGGCGUGCACUGGGGUCUUUAUUUUGGUAUGUGAGUGUUAUGUAGAUUAGGAGCCCUUUUUGGAGAGUCUUCCCUGUAAUUUAGGCCGCAGCUCCAUGACAUUUUGAAUGACUUAUGAUUGUGUAAGCUUUUCUGAGAGUUGAUGUUUCUAUUUUAUUGAUUUUAUUCUACUUUAAUAAAAGAUUGGUGUUUGA